UACAGGGGGUGCAAACGUUGCUCGGAAUCAUUGGGCGUAAAGCGCACGUAGGCGGUUCGUUAUGUCGGAUGUGAAAGCCCUUGGCUUAACCGAGGAAGUGCAUCCGAAACUGGCGAGCUAGAGUACGAAAGAGGAUCGCGGAAUUCCCGGUGUAGAGGUGAAAUUCGUAGAUAUCGGGAGGAACACCGGUGGCGAAGGCGGCUCACUGGCCCGGUACUGACGCUGAGGUGCGAAAGCGUGGGGAGCAAACAGG
RNAcentral lists this ribosomal RNA (253 nucleotides) under uncultured bacterium. Its description in RNAcentral is "partial 16S ribosomal RNA". It matches the Rfam family "Bacterial small subunit ribosomal RNA", at positions 524 to 776 of the family's 1533-position model. The record is from RNAcentral.